RNAcentral lists this unclassified non-coding RNA (404 nucleotides) under Hevea brasiliensis (rubber tree). The record is from RNAcentral. Lineage: Eukaryota; Viridiplantae; Streptophyta; Magnoliopsida; Malpighiales; Euphorbiaceae.
GCCACACUUACAAAAUUUAGAUGUCAAGAUGACCAAUUCUUUAGAAAAAAAAUUGACAUUAAGGAAUGGAGAUAAGAGAGUUUGCACAGAUAGAGGAAAGCAUCAAGGCAAAACAGGGACCAGAUUAGAAGUCCUGGGCUCUUGAAAAAUGGCUAAUUCAACAUGUUAUUACUAAAGACAGUGACCAAUAACUUCCACAAUGUCCCUUUCGCUCCCUCAAAAAUAGAUAAGUUUGUCUGGCAAAACAUUAAAGGAUUUGCUAACAUAAAAUACAGAGCAACUCAAUGCAGAAAAGAACAAGAAACAAUAAUUCAGUCUCAAGUUCUAAACAACAAUUUCUCUCUGCUUGGAAACUGAGGUACAUUAGGCAUUAUCAAUACCUUUGCACGUAUAGAAGCUGGAAU